UGGGGAAUAUUGGACAAUGGGCGCAAGCCUGAUCCAGCCAUGCCGCGUGAGUGAUGAAGGCCCUAGGGUUGUAAAGCUCUUUCACCGGUGAAGAUAAUGACGGUAACCGGAGAAGAAGCCCCGGCUAACUUCGUGCCAGCAGCCGCGGUAAUACGAAGGGGGCUAGCGUUGUUCGGAUUUACUGGGCGUAAAGCGCACGUAGGCGGACUUUUAAGUCAGGGGUGAAAUCCCGGGGCUCAACCCCGGAACUGCCUUUGAUACUGGAAGUCUUGAGUAUGGUAGCGGUGAGAGAAAUUCCGAGUGUAGAGGUGAAAUUCGUAGAUAUUCGGAGGAACACCAGUGGCGAAGGCGGCUCACUGGACCAUUACUGACGCUGAGGUGCGAAAGCGUGGGGAGCAAACAGG
RNAcentral lists this ribosomal RNA (404 nucleotides) under Actinomycetes bacterium. RNAcentral describes it as "Actinobacteria bacterium partial 16S ribosomal RNA". It matches the Rfam family "Bacterial small subunit ribosomal RNA", at positions 355 to 776 of the family's 1533-position model. The record is from RNAcentral. Lineage: Bacteria; Bacillati; Actinomycetota; Actinomycetes.